GAUUUCUGGCCUGAAACAUUUUGCCGGCCACGGUUUCGUGUGUUAGUGCUUGAUGUUCUGGCCAUCCUUCCAGUCGCUAUUGACUAUUCUUCAUUGAUUGGUCAGUGGUACUGGAUCUUUUACUUUGAAAAAAUUAGAGUGUUUCAAGCAGGCUUUAUGCUAUGAAUACAUUAGCAUGGAAUAAUAAUUUAGGACUUCGGUUCUAUUUUGUUGGUUUCUAGGACUGAAGUAAUGAUUGAUAGGGAUAGUUGGGGGUGCUAGUAUUCAGCGGCCAGAGGUGAAAUUCUCGGAUUCGCUGAAGACUAACUUAUGCGAAAGCAUU
Molecule: ribosomal RNA, 322 nt
Filed under: uncultured Paracercomonas
Lineage: Eukaryota; Cercozoa; Cercomonadida; Cercomonadidae
Description: SSU rRNA
Rfam family: Eukaryotic small subunit ribosomal RNA (bases 110-322)
Source: RNAcentral